UACGUAGGGACCUAGCGUUGUUCGGAAUUACUGGGCGUAAAGGGCGCGUGGGCGUCCUGGUCAGUCGGAUGUGAAAGCCCGGGGCUCAACCCCGGAACGGCAUCCGAGACGGCCAGGCUGGAGACCGGGAGAGGAGAGUGGAAUAGCCAGUGUAGAGGUGAAAUUCGUAGAUAUUGGCUGGAACACCGGUGGCGAAAGCGGCUCUCUGGCCCGGUUCUGACGCUGAGGAGCGAAAGCGUGGGGAGCAAACAGG
Molecule: ribosomal RNA, 253 nt
Filed under: uncultured bacterium
Lineage: Bacteria
Description: partial 16S ribosomal RNA
Rfam family: Bacterial small subunit ribosomal RNA
Source: RNAcentral